GACGAACGCUGGCGGCGUGCUUAACACAUGCAAGUCGAACGGAAAGGCCCUGCUUUUGUGGGGUGCUCGAGUGGCGAACGGGUGAGUAACACGUGAGUAACCUGCCCUUGACUUUGGGAUAACUUCAGGAAACUGGGGCUAAUACCGGAUAGGAGCUCCUGCUGCAUGGUGGGGGUUGGAUAGUUUCGGCGGUUGGGGAUGGACUCGCGGCUUAUCAGCUUGUUGGUGGGGUAGUGGCUUACCAAGGCUUUGACGGGUAGCCGGCCUGAGAGGGUGACCGGCCACAUUGGGACUGAGAUACGGCCCAGACUCCUACGGGAGGCAGCAGUGGGGAAUAUUGCACAAUGGGCGGAAGCCUGACGCAGCAACGCCGCGUGCGGGAUGACGGCCUUCGGGUUGUAAACCGCUUUCGCCUGUGACGAAGCGUGAGUGACGGUAAUGGGUAAAGAAGCACCGGCUAACUACGUG
RNAcentral lists this ribosomal RNA (468 nucleotides) under uncultured bacterium. Its description in RNAcentral is "partial 16S ribosomal RNA". It matches the Rfam family "Bacterial small subunit ribosomal RNA", at positions 28 to 507 of the family's 1533-position model. The record is from RNAcentral.